UACGAAGGGGGCUAGCGUUGUUCGGAAUCACUGGGCGUAAAGGGUGCGUAGGCGGCGGGGCAAGUCAGGUGUGAAAUCUCGGGGCUCAACCCCGAAACUGCACUUGAUACUGCCUUGCUCGAGUACUGGAGAGGAGACUGGAAUUUACGGUGUAGCAGUGAAAUGCGUAGAUAUCGUAAGGAAGACCAGUGGCGAAGGCGAGUCUCUGGACAGUUACUGACGCUGAGGCACGAAGGCCAGGGGAGCAAACGGG
RNAcentral lists this ribosomal RNA (253 nucleotides) under uncultured bacterium. Its description in RNAcentral is "partial 16S ribosomal RNA". It matches the Rfam family "Bacterial small subunit ribosomal RNA", at positions 524 to 776 of the family's 1533-position model. The record is from RNAcentral.